UCGACAAGCCCUAAGCGCUCCAACUUUGCGAGGUGGUACUGAACCGCCCGGGUCGGCAGAUCCAGCUCGUUCUUGAUGUCGUCCAUGUCAACGCAGUCCCGAUCAUCCCGUUCCGGCAUCUCGCCGAGGAUCCGAAGGAUGUCGUCGUCGAUGUCAUCCAACAGGUCCUCUUCCUCUUCCUCCUCGUCCCCAUCGGUUGGCUCCUCCUC
RNAcentral lists this unclassified non-coding RNA (209 nucleotides) under uncultured bacterium. Its description in RNAcentral is "contains 16S-23S intergenic spacer region". The record is from RNAcentral.